This 445-nucleotide ribosomal RNA is filed under the name uncultured Devosia sp. Its description in RNAcentral is "bacterial SSU rRNA". It matches the Rfam family "Bacterial small subunit ribosomal RNA", at positions 335 to 798 of the family's 1533-position model. Lineage: Bacteria; Pseudomonadati; Pseudomonadota; Alphaproteobacteria; Hyphomicrobiales; Devosiaceae. The record is from RNAcentral.
GGCCUACGGGUGGCAGCAGUGGGGAAUAUUGGACAAUGGGCGCAAGCCUGAUCCAGCCAUGCCGCGUGAGUGAUGAAGGCCUUAGGGUUGUAAAGCUCUUUCAGUAGGGAAGAUAAUGACGGUACCUACAGAAGAAGCCCCGGCUAACUUCGUGCCAGCAGCCGCGGUAAUACGAAGGGGGCUAGCGUUGUUCGGAUUUACUGGGCGUAAAGCGCACGUAGGCGGGUCGUUAAGUCAGGGGUGAAAUCCUGGAGCUCAACUCCAGAACUGCCUUUGAUACUGGCGACCUAGAGUCCGGAAGAGGUGAGUGGAACUCCUAGUGUAGAGGUGGAAUUCGUAGAUAUUAGGAAGAACACCAGUGGCGAAGGCGGCUCACUGGUCCGGUACUGACGCUGAGGUGCGAAAGCGUGGGGAGCAAACAGGAUUAGAUACCCGUGUAGUCUAG